Molecule: ribosomal RNA, 750 nt
Filed under: Escherichia coli
Lineage: Bacteria; Pseudomonadati; Pseudomonadota; Gammaproteobacteria; Enterobacterales; Enterobacteriaceae
Description: partial 23S ribosomal RNA
Rfam family: Bacterial large subunit ribosomal RNA
Source: RNAcentral
CGGGACACGUGGUAUCCUGUCUGAAUAUGGGGGGACCAUCCUCCAAGGCUAAAUACUCCUGACUGACCGAUAGUGAACCAGUACCGUGAGGGAAAGGCGAAAAGAACCCCGGCGAGGGGAGUGAAAAAGAACCUGAAACCGUGUACGUACAAGCAGUGGGAGCACGCUUAGGCGUGUGACUGCGUACCUUUUGUAUAAUGGGUCAGCGACUUAUAUUCUGUAGCAAGGUUAACCGAAUAGGGGAGCCGAAGGGAAACCGAGUCUUAACUGGGCGUUAAGUUGCAGGGUAUAGACCCGAAACCCGGUGAUCUAGCCAUGGGCAGGUUGAAGGUUGGGUAACACUAACUGGAGGACCGAACCGACUAAUGUUGAAAAAUUAGCGGAUGACUUGUGGCUGGGGGUGAAAGGCCAAUCAAACCGGGAGAUAGCUGGUUCUCCCCGAAAGCUAUUUAGGUAGCGCCUCGUGAAUUCAUCUCCGGGGGUAGAGCACUGUUUCGGCAAGGGGGUCAUCCCGACUUACCAACCCGAUGCAAACUGCGAAUACCGGAGAAUGUUAUCACGGGAGACACACGGCGGGUGCUAACGUCCGUCGUGAAGAGGGAAACAACCCAGACCGCCAGCUAAGGUCCCAAAGUCAUGGUUAAGUGGGAAACGAUGUGGGAAGGCCCAGACAGCCAGGAUGUUGGCUUAGAAGCAGCCAUCAUUUAAAGAAAGCGUAAUAGCUCACUGGUCGAGUCGGCCUGCGCGGAA